GUUUCAAAAUGAAUCUGGGGGGACAUACAAAUACUCAGCUUAUGGCAGAAACACUCCCAUGGGAAAAAUAACACCAAAUUUCAUAUUUAGCUCUCUAGAUUUCUUUCUUCUCUCCCUUCUCCACCUGAUAAUUAUUCUCUAUCUUAUUUUAUCCUUAUACAUUCAAGUAGGUUUUUAUUGUAAAUUUUACUUAGAUUUUCUGGUUUUCUCAGAAUUUGAUCAGAAUUACCUUGUCUACUGCUAUUGAUAGCAGGUAGACAAAAUGAGAAAUGUCAUUCAUCUGCUGAAGCCUUCUCUUAACCUAACCACAUUAUAGCAAACUGAGGUUAACCAGAAUGAGGCACCUUUCUCUCCUUGGCCCUAGGCCCACAUUACAGACCACCACACUAAUUCCAAAGUCCUUGUGUUAAAUUCAGAAUUGCACCUGACUACUAUCAAUAUAAUUUUAAGCAUGUGACAGGAAUGUUCCUCCAAUGGUGAAGAGCACAUGGGUGUGGUUAUUCAUUGAAAUUCUGGAUAUAAGUCACGAUAAAAAAAGGAUUGGUAAUCUGCUAAUGGGCUCUAGGGAGAUCACAGUGAAUUCGGAUUAUAUGUAUCACAUCCAAAUUACAGGGAGAAAGAAGAUACUUUGUUCUUUUUUUUGUGAUUAGUGAUGAGGGCUGAGAAGCCACAAUACUUUCCUCUUUAUAAAGGUUGACUUACUAAAGGUAAAGAGCUAAGUAGACCUCCUAAUUCAAGCAUUUAAAGUGGCAACUGUCAUUUUGCCCGCAAGUGGUUACCUGGUCUAAAGGUAUAUUUUUGUGUAUAGUAGCCAUGUACAGUACUACAAAAGUAACAGGGAGGAAAGAAGGAACUGACACUGAUAUACAUUGAUUGCCACAAUUUAACAGAAAAAAAGUUUAGACUAAUUUACUAAUAUUAUUGUUCUUUGGGGGAAAAAAACUACCUCUGUGUGUAUAUACAAGUACACGCACAAAUAUAUACACAUGUGUUACAUAUAUCUGACAGAUAAUAUUUUCAAAAGGUAUCUUCCACCCAACGUUCUCUUAUGCCAGGUGACCUCGCCAUUCCGCAAUCAAGAGAUGAGUCUAAGUCUUCUCCCCUUGAAUCUGGGCUCAGCUGGCCUUAGUGGUUUGCAUGCAACUAACAGAAUGCAACAAUAAUGAACUUGAGUUAUUUCCA
RNAcentral lists this long non-coding RNA (1182 nucleotides) under Canis lupus familiaris (dog). RNAcentral's name for it is "lncRNA (ENSCAFG00000052878.1, ENSCAFG00845004313.1)". The record is from RNAcentral. Lineage: Eukaryota; Metazoa; Chordata; Mammalia; Carnivora; Canidae.